AUUGAACGCUGGCGGCAUGCCUUACACAUGCAAGUCGAACGGCAGCACGGGAGCAAUCCUGGUGGCGAGUGGCGAGCGGGUGAGUAAAGUAUCGGAACGUGCCCAGUCGUGGGGGAUAACGUAGCGAAAGUUACGCUAAUACCGCAUACGAUCUAUGGAUGAAAGCGGGGGAUAGCAAGACCUCGCGCGAUUGGAGCGGCCGAGAGCAGAUGAGGUGGUUGGUGGGGUAAAGGCUCACCAAGCCGACGAUCUGUAGCUGGUCUGAGAGGACGACCAGCCACACUGGGACUGAGACACGGCCCAGACUCCUACGGGAGGCAGCAGUGGGGAAUUUUGGACAAUGGGCGAAAGCCUGAUCCAGCCAUGCCGCGUGCAGGAUGAAGGCCUUCGGGUUGUAAACUGCUUUUGUACGGAACGAAAAGGUUUGGGCUAAUAAGCUGAGCUCAUGACGGUACCGUAAGAAUAAGCACCGGCUAACUACGUGCCAGCAGCCGCCGUAA
RNAcentral lists this ribosomal RNA (500 nucleotides) under uncultured bacterium. Its description in RNAcentral is "partial 16S ribosomal RNA". It matches the Rfam family "Bacterial small subunit ribosomal RNA", at positions 29 to 523 of the family's 1533-position model. The record is from RNAcentral.